RNAcentral lists this ribosomal RNA (383 nucleotides) under uncultured organism. RNAcentral describes it as "partial 16S ribosomal RNA". It matches the Rfam family "Bacterial small subunit ribosomal RNA", at positions 527 to 896 of the family's 1533-position model. The record is from RNAcentral.
GAGUGCCCCAAGCGUUAUCCGGAUUUACUGGGGCGUAAAGGGGUCCGCAGGCGGUUUGUCACAUCUCCUGGUUAAAUCUAUCGGCUCAACCGGGUAGGGCUGCGGGAGAGAUGGACAGACUAGAGGAUGGGAGAGGUAAGCGGAAUUGCUGGUGUAGGGGUUAAAUCCGUUAAUAUCAGCAGGAACACCAAAUGCGAAGGCAGCUUACUGGAACAUUCCUGACGCUCAUGGACGAAAGCGUGGGUAGCGAAUAGGAUUAGAUACCCUAGUAGUCCACGCCGUAAACGCUGGAUGCUAAGCAUUGGCAGUUUCGACCCUGCCAGUGCUGUUUAAAUAAGGUAACCCGCUAAGCAUCCCGCCUGGGGAGUACGAGCGCAAGCUUA